Molecule: RNase P RNA, 366 nt
Filed under: Paracoccus sp. (in: a-proteobacteria)
Lineage: Bacteria; Pseudomonadati; Pseudomonadota; Alphaproteobacteria; Rhodobacterales; Paracoccaceae
Description: RNase P RNA component class A
Rfam family: Bacterial RNase P class A
About the family: Ribonuclease P (RNase P) is a ubiquitous endoribonuclease, found in archaea, bacteria and eukarya as well as chloroplasts and mitochondria. Its best characterised activity is the generation of mature 5'-ends of tRNAs by cleaving the 5'-leader elements of precursor-tRNAs. Cellular RNase Ps are ribonucleoproteins.
Source: RNAcentral
GCGGAUGGCCGGAUGACCGCGGCGAAAGCCGAGGAAAGUCCGGGCUCCAUCAAGGCACGGUGCCGGGUAACGCCCGGCGGGGGCAACCCCAGGGACAGCGCCACAGAGAACAGACCGCCCCGGUUCGCCGGGGUAAGGGUGAAACGGUGGGGUAAAAGCCCACCGGGGGGCUGGCAACAGUCCUCGCAUGGCAAGCCCCACCGGGAGCAAUGCCGAAUAGGGACCGCGUGUCGCAAGACGGGGGCGCCUUGCCCUCAGCUGGUCCGGGUUGGCAGCUAAAGCCCGUCGGUAACGGCGGGACAAGAUGAAUGGUCAUCGAAGGGGGCAACCCCGGAACAGAACCCGGCUUACAGGCCAUCCGCGCAA